GGCCGACUAGCUCAGUUGGUUAGAGCGUCGUGCUAAUAGGCUGAACAGCAGACUUGCCCUUUCCCGGCAGCUCUGUUGAUCAACCCGUUCAACGCGAAGGUCUUGGGUUCGAUCCCCACGUUGGCCA
Molecule: non-coding RNA, 127 nt
Organism: Dendrothele bispora CBS 962.96
Lineage: Eukaryota; Fungi; Basidiomycota; Agaricomycetes; Agaricales
Source: the annotation of a GenBank genome assembly